Hydra vulgaris (swiftwater hydra) is the source of this 2642-nucleotide long non-coding RNA. RefSeq lists it as uncharacterized. The record is from RefSeq and is a predicted model, not a curated record. NCBI's taxonomy places the organism in Eukaryota, Metazoa, Cnidaria, Hydrozoa, Anthoathecata, Hydridae.
UUUAACGGUGAAAAUGUUCAUGAAAAAUCAAACACUUUGUAUUUUCGACCAAUAAAAUCAUCUGAUUAAACAAUGCUUUCCUUUCAUAUAUUAAAUACGUGUCAAAGGUGCUGCCAUCUUCGGUGAUGAAUUCAAACUGAAGUUUUAGUUGCAUGUAUUGGCCAUUAAAAACUCAUAAUAAGUUUUUUUACCGUUACCUAACACAUUUGUUGUUGCAAUAAAAAUAAAAGUUUGUUUCUGGUACCAAAAAGUAACUUUUUUAUGACAUAUUCUUUUUUUUUUCUACAACUGUAGCUUUGGUAGCGGUGCACCUUGUAGCUAAUGAUGUGUAUCUUGGUGGUACCACCAUGGUGCACACUUGCAUGAUUUUGUAAAUACUUUUAUGAGUAAUAUUUUUUAUGAUGGUCACAAACCUGGCCCUAGCCCCGGCUAUAUUUUAUCAAACCCAGCCCUGGCCUUGGUCAAAUAUCAAACUCGGUCACUUACUAAUUGUUACAAAAUAUAUUCACAGCCACUUUUCUUAACUAAAUGGAACCAAGUCAAAAAGAUUGCGAUAAAUUUAGUUCUUUUAUGGGUACUCAACCUUUUUCGGAAAAUUUAUUUUUACGCAAGAAACUACUUCAUGAAAUUCAACAAUAUUUUUUGCAAGAUGCAAGCAAGAUAACUUUAGUAUUAUAUGGAAUGUCGGGUGUCGGAAAGACACAUAUUGCCAGAAAAUAUUGUCAAAUAUUUUCUGGCAGUAUGUGUCUUUCUGACACCCGACAUAAAACUUUGUUUGGAUUGACGCGGCAUUUGGAAUAUUACAAACUUCAAUGAGAAACCACUGUCAAGUAUUAGGAUUUAAAGUUCAUGAUACGAAAGGUGAUUUUAAUGUAAGAGUGAUUGCUGAAAAAAUUCACAACUAGUAUAAAAAUGAAAAAACUUUGUAUACAUUGUCAACGAUGAAAGUGUUAAAAAUUUAUCAAUGUACUUUUCAAGAAAACCGAAUUCAUUCACGUUGAUUACCGCCCAAUAAAGAACGUGGUCGAAUAAUGUAAAUCAAAUGCUAGUUGUUUUUUCUUCUAAAGAAGCAUUCGCCUGUGUAAAAAGUGAUAUUGAAGAAAACACAGAUGAAAACAUAAGAAACUUAAUUAAAGAACUUGGAUAUUAUCCGUUUGCGAUAAAAAAUAUAAAUAUGCAUAAAACUUCAAAAGAUAAAUACUUAAAUCGAUAUAGAUCUAAUUCGUCAGAAAUAAUUGACAAUAAUAACUUUCCAACCAAAAAAGAAUCUGCAAUAAAAGCUAUUAACUUAAUUUUAAUAAAAUUAGAAAAAACUAAACUUUUUUCAUUAAACUGUUUAUCUCAUUGCGAUGAUCAAAACAUCAGUAAACAGUUUAAAACACAAAUCUCAAAUCGCAUGAAAAUAAACGAUGAAUCUUUAAUAGAUGAAGCCAUUGGAUUAUUAAUGAGUUAUUCUUUACUAAACUGUUUUGAAGAUAAAUAUUAUUCAACACACGACGCAAUUGACAUGCAGCUGUUUUCAAAAGAGAAAUUCAUGUACAAACACGUAUUUUGAUCUUAUUGAAAGUUAUUUUAAAGUUGAAACGAACGAAGUAAAAGAUCGGAAAUCAUUUUGUUUUUCAUUUUGUCUAUAUGUUGCGUACUAACGAAAAUUUUUUUUCGUUAGUACGAAACAUAUAGACAAAAUGAAAUUAAAAACUUUCAUCAUAUGGCGACUUCUAUUGAAAAAAUAUAAGUAUGUAAAAGUUUAUUUGAAGAAGCAAUCAAAAUAUUAAAAGCUAUUCAAAAAUUUAAUACGGAAACUUAUGGUAAAAAUAAUAAAAUUAACGCUUUAUACGAAACAUAUCGCAUGUUUUUUAAACGAAAUGGGAAUACACUACGAUGUGCAUAUCCUUCAAAAGUCAAUGUAUCAACCACCCGGGUGCAAUGACAGCAAAAAAUGAUAUCGCAUACUGUUUAAACAAUUUGGGAAAAUAUAAUGAAGCUUUAAAAAUUUAUUAUUCUGUUGAUAAAAUACAAACUGAAAUUUUAGAUAUUAACCAUCCGGAUAAAAUGACAACAAAACAUGUUUGAACAAGUUGGAAAAAUAUAACGAACUUUAGAAAUUUAUUAUUCUGUGCAUAAAAUACAAACAAAAAUAAUAUCGCAUUCUGUUUGAAUAAUUUGAAAAACGGAUUAAAGAGAUAGAACAAAAUGCAAUGUCAGCUAUAAUUAAACAAAAUAAAUUUAACCUCGCGUUUACUCGGCAAAAAACUGAUACGUGACCCCAAGGUGUUUGAAAAUUGACCGGCUCAGUUGUUACGAUUAGGACUCUACAGUCCAAUAUUAAACCCAGUGGAAACUAUUUGGCCCAAAAUAAAAAUAAACGUUGAAAAUUUUGUUCGCAUUCCACCUGUAUUCGGUGCUGGGAUUAUGGAACAACUAAUCCAGUAUUUAGAAAGAAUUAUUACUGCAGCAAAAAAAAAACAAACAAGGAUGGGAGGUAAUUGUACACACACUGUACAACAUACAACCACGCAUUACGCAAUGAUUUUAAAUAUAGAAGGCGUCCAAGUUGGUGCUUAACUAACUAUUGUAAUGACUUUUAAUGACGUUUAAAUUUAAAUUUUAAAUUUUUAUGUAAAUAAAUUAUUUGUGUUUUA